Molecule: long non-coding RNA, 159 nt
Organism: Octopus sinensis (East Asian common octopus)
Lineage: Eukaryota; Metazoa; Mollusca; Cephalopoda; Octopoda; Octopodidae
Exons: 3
Source: RefSeq, a predicted model, not a curated record
UACAUUAUAAAAGUACAGAUGUGGUAAGGCGGCGACGGGCUGGCAGACAGGUUAGGGCGAAAUGCUUAGCCGUAUUUCGUCUGCGUUACGUUGUGAGUUCAAAUUCCGCCGAGGUUGACUUUGCCUUUCAUCCUUUCGGGGUCGAUAAAUUAAGUACCA